UCUCAAGCGUGAGGUAAGGGCAUUUGGUGGAUGCCUUGGCAUGCAGAGGCGAUGAAGGACGUGGCACGCUGCGAUAAGCUGCGGUGAGGUGUGAGCAACCUUUGACCCGCAGAUUUCCGAAUGGGGAAACCCACCUAUCCCGAUGACCUUGACCGGACGGUUCGCCGGCCGAUCCAAGGUCAUCGGGGACAGGUAUCACUUAGCUGAAUCAAAUAGGCUUCGUGAAGCGAACCCGGAGAACUGAAACAUCUCAGUACCCGGAGGAAAAGACAUCAACCGAGAUUCCGUGAGUAGUGGCGAGCGAAAGCGGACCAGGCCAGUGCCUGGAAGUAGAAUAGCAGAACAGUUUGGAAAGACUGGCCGGAGCGGGUGAUAGCCCCGUAUGCGAAAUGACACUUUCAGGACUUGAGUAGGGCGGGACACGUGUAAUCCUGUCUGAACAUGGGGGGACCACCCUCCAAGCCUAAAUACUCCUGCAUGACCGAUAGCGAACUAGUACCGUGAGGGAAAGGUGAAAAGCACCCCGAUGAGGGGAGUGAAACAGUACCUGAAACCG
This 556-nucleotide ribosomal RNA is filed under the name Staphylococcus hominis. Its description in RNAcentral is "partial 23S ribosomal RNA". It matches the Rfam family "Bacterial large subunit ribosomal RNA", at positions 1 to 558 of the family's 2925-position model. Lineage: Bacteria; Bacillati; Bacillota; Bacilli; Caryophanales; Staphylococcaceae. The record is from RNAcentral.